UGAAAGUGAAGGCCGCCCCUUCGGUGGGGAUGCAGAACGGCCGAGGCGAGAUCCUAAAAAAGUCGGCCUCCCUUUUCCCUCUCUCACGGGGGGAUUUGCGGAGCCACCGGCGAAAUUUUUAAAAGAAACCGGACAUGGUAGGCACGCCGUCGGUCGUCAAAAAACCGUCGGCGGUCCGGAGGCGCAUCGCCGGCCCGUCUCGAUCGCUCCGAUCUUCCUUCCCGUUCUCCGCUCGCCGUUUCGGCUUUCCCGUCUCGUCACCUCUUUCGCGAGAGGCCGGGGCCGGGGUCGUCGCAUUCGGUUGGGGGUUCGGGGGGGUCGAAAGGAAUCUCGGUCGAUGAGGCGGAGCAAGAGCACACACGUUGGGACCCGAAAGAUGGUGAACUAUGCCCGGGCAGGACGAAGCCAGAGGAAACUCUGGUGGAGGUCCGCAGCGAUUCUGACGUGCAAAUCGAUCGUCGGACCUGGGUAUAGGGGCGAAAGACUAAUCGAACCGUCUAGUAGCUGGUUCCCUCCGAAGUUUCCCUCAGGAUAGCUGGCGCUCGGAAACGAAAACGAAAGAAAUGAAACAGUCUCAUCCGGUAAAGCGAAUGAUUAGAGGCAUUGGGGCCGAAACGGCCUCAACCUAUUCUCAAACUUUCAAUGGGUGAGAUGUCCGGCUUGCUUAACGAAUAGAAACAGGGGGGUCGCUCGCGGCUUGUGCGUCUCUUUUCUCGCCUCUUUUUCGAAGUGUUCGCGACACGGAUGACUGGGAGUGCCGGGAGAUCUGCGCGCGCUCGUCGCGUCGGCCACAAACCCUUGAAGCACGGACGUAGGAUGCGAGUGCCCAGUGGGCCACUUUUGGUAAGCAGAACUGGCGCUGUGGGAUGAACCAAAAGCCGGGUUACGGCGCCCGAUGCGGACGCUUAUCAGACCCCAUGAAAGGUGUUGGUUGCUAUUGACAGCAGGACGGUGGCCAUGGAAGUCGGAAUCCGCUAAGGAGUGUGUAACAACUCACCUGCCGAAGCAACUAGCCCUGAAAAUGGAUGGCGCUCCAGCGUCGAGCCUAACCCCGGCCGUCGGAAGGCAUUGAAAAAACGCAAAACGAAAGAACAAAAAACGAUGCCCCGACGAGUAGGAGGGUCGCGGUGGUGGGCGUUGAAGGGAUCGGGCGC
RNAcentral lists this non-coding RNA (1154 nucleotides) under Strigamia maritima. RNAcentral's name for it is "Eukaryotic large subunit ribosomal RNA". It matches the Rfam family "Eukaryotic large subunit ribosomal RNA", at positions 720 to 1418 of the family's 3401-position model. Lineage: Eukaryota; Metazoa; Arthropoda; Chilopoda; Geophilomorpha; Linotaeniidae. The record is from Rfam by way of RNAcentral.